GGGUUGUGAGGUUAAGCGACUAAGCGUACACGGUGGAUGCCCUGGCAGUCAGAGGCGAUGAAGGGCGUGCUAAUCUGCGAUAAGCGCCGGUAAGGUGAUAUGAACCGUUAUAACCGGCGAUACCCGAAUGGGGAAACCCAGUGUGAUUCGUCACACUAUCAUUAACUGAAUCCAUAGGUUAAUGAGGCGAACCGGGGGAACUGAAACAUCUAAGUACCCCGAGGAAAAGAAAUCAACCGAGAUUCCCCCAGUAGCGGCGAGCGAACGGGGAGGAGCCCAGAGCCUGAAUCAGCAUGUGUGUUAGUGGAAGCGUCUGGAAAGGCGCGCGAUACAGGGUGACAGCCCCGUACACAAAAGCGCAUGUGCUGUGAGCUCGAUGAGUAGGGCGGGACACGUGGUAUCCUGUCUGAAUAUGGGGGGACCAUCCUCCAAGGCUAAAUACUCCUGACUGACCGAUAGUGAACCAGUACCGUGAGGGAAAGGCGAAAAGAACCCCGGCGAGGGGAGUGAAAAAGAACCUGAAACCGUGUACGUACAAGCAGUGGGAGCACCCUUUGGGG
This 560-nucleotide ribosomal RNA is filed under the name Salmonella enterica. RNAcentral describes it as "partial 23S ribosomal RNA". It matches the Rfam family "Bacterial large subunit ribosomal RNA", at positions 1 to 591 of the family's 2925-position model. RNAcentral also lists the same sequence under 3 other names. Lineage: Bacteria; Pseudomonadati; Pseudomonadota; Gammaproteobacteria; Enterobacterales; Enterobacteriaceae. The record is from RNAcentral.